CCUACGGGGGGCUGCAGUGGGGAAUAUUGGACAAUGGGCGAAAGCCUGAUCCAGCCAUGCCGCGUGUGUGAAGAAGGCCUUCGGGUUGUAAAGCACUUUCAGUGGGGAAGAAAGCCUUGGGGCUAAUACCCUCGAGGAAGGACAUCACCCACAGAAGAAGCACCGGCUAACUCCGUGCCAGCAGCCGCGGUAAUACGGAGGGUGCGAGCGUUAAUCGGAAUUACUGGGCGUAAAGCGCGCGUAGGCGGUCUGAUAAGCCGGUUGUGAAAGCCCCGGGCUCAACCUGGGAACGGCAUCCGGAACUGUCAGGCUAGAGUGCAGGAGAGGAAGGUAGAAUUCCCGGUGUAGCGGUGAAAUGCGUAGAGAUCGGGAGGAAUACCAGUGGCGAAGGCGGCCUUCUGGACUGACACUGACGCUGAGGUGCGAAAGCGUGGGUAGCAAACAGGAUUAAUACCCGGGUAGUC
Molecule: ribosomal RNA, 464 nt
Filed under: Vreelandella stevensii
Lineage: Bacteria; Pseudomonadati; Pseudomonadota; Gammaproteobacteria; Oceanospirillales; Halomonadaceae
Description: partial 16S ribosomal RNA
Rfam family: Bacterial small subunit ribosomal RNA
Source: RNAcentral